Molecule: ribosomal RNA, 1522 nt
Filed under: metagenome
Description: bacterial SSU rRNA
Rfam family: Bacterial small subunit ribosomal RNA
Source: RNAcentral
AGAGUUUGAUCAUGGCUCAGAUUGAACGCUGGCGGCAGGCCUAACACAUGUAAGUCGAACGGUAACAGGAAGCAGCUUGCUGCUUCGCUGACGAGUGGCGGACGGGUGAGUAAUGUCUGGGAAGCUGCCUGAUGGAGGGGGAUAACUACUGGAAACGGUAGCUAAUACCGCAUAAUGUCGCAAGACCAAAGAGGGGGACCUUCGGGCCUCUUGCCAUCGGAUGUGCCCAGAUGGGAUUAGCUUGUUGGUGGGGUAACGGCUCACCAAGGCGACGAUCCCUAGCUGGUCUGAGAGGAUGACCAGCCACACUGGAACUGAGACACGGUCCAGACUCCUACGGGAGGCAGCAGUGGGGAAUAUUGCACAAUGGGCGCAAGCCUGAUGCAGCCAUGCCGCGUGUAUGAAGAAGGCCUUCGGGUUGUAAAGUACUUUCAGCGGGGAGGAAGGGAGUAAAGUUAAUACCUUUGCUCAUUGACGUUACCCGCAGAAGAAGCACCGGCUAACUCCGUGCCAGCAGCCGCGGUAAUACGGAGGGUGCAAGCGUUAAUCGGAAUUACUGGGCGUAAAGCGCACGCAGGCGGUUUGUUAAGUCAGAUGUGAAAUCCCCGGGCUCAACCUGGGAACUGCAUCUGAUACUGGCAAGCUUGAGUCUCGUAGAGGGGGGUAGAAUUCCAGGUGUAGCGGUGAAAUGCGUAGAGAUCUGGAGGAAUACCGGUGGCGAAGGCGGCCCCCUGGACGAAGACUGACGCUCAGGUGCGAAAGCGUGGGGAGCAAACAGGAUUAGAUACCCUGGUAGUCCACGCCGUAAACGAUGUCGACUUGGAGGUUGUGCCCUUGAGGCGUGGCUUCCGGAGCUAACGCGUUAAGUCGACCGCCUGGGGAGUACGGCCGCAAGGUUAAAACUCAAAUGAAUUGACGGGGGCCCGCACAAGCGGUGGAGCAUGUGGUUUAAUUCGAUGCAACGCGAAGAACCUUACCUGGUCUUGACAUCCACGGAAGUUUUCAGAGAUGAGAAUGUGCCUUCGGGAACCGUGAGACAGGUGCUGCAUGGCUGUCGUCAGCUCGUGUUGUGAAAUGUUGGGUUAAGUCCCGCAACGAGCGCAACCCUUAUCCUUUGUUGCCAGCGGUCCGGCCGGGAACUCAAAGGAGACUGCCAGUGAUAAACUGGAGGAAGGUGGGGAUGACGUCAAGUCAUCAUGGCCCUUACGACCAGGGCUACACACGUGCUAUAAUGGCGCAUGCAAAGAGAAGCGACCUCGCGAGAGCAAGCGGACCUCAUAAAGUGCGUCGUAGUCCGGAUUGGAGUCUGCAACUCGACUCCAUGAAGUCGGAAUCGCUAGUAAUCGUGGAUCAGAAUGCCACGGUGAAUACGUUCCCGGGCCUUGUACACACCGCCCGUCACACCAUGGGAGUGGGUUGCAAAAGAAGUAGGUAGCUUAACCUUCGGGAGGGCGCUUACCACUUUGUGAUUCAUGACUGGGGUGAAGUCGAAACAAGGUAACCGUAGGGGAACCUGCGGUUG